GCCUGCUUGGCGCAGUGGUAACGCGUAGCACUUGUACGGUCAUACUCUGACUGGUUAGAAAUGCUGAGAUCAUUGGUUCGAUUCCAGUAGUAGGCA
Non-coding RNA from Ciborinia camelliae, 96 nucleotides. NCBI's taxonomy places the organism in Eukaryota, Fungi, Ascomycota, Leotiomycetes, Helotiales, Sclerotiniaceae. The record is from the annotation of a GenBank genome assembly.